AACUUUUGACGGUGGAUCUCUUGGCUCACGCAUCGAUGAAGAACGCAGCCAGCUGCGAUAAGUAGUGUGAAUUGCAGAAUUCAGUGAAUCAUCGAAUCUUUGAACGCAAAUGGCGCUCUUGGGUUCUCCCAGGAGCAUGUCUGUCUGAGUGUCAGAUUGUCAUCCAUC
RNAcentral lists this ribosomal RNA (168 nucleotides) under Dipsastraea pallida. RNAcentral describes it as "5.8S ribosomal RNA". It matches the Rfam family "5.8S ribosomal RNA". Rfam says of the family: 5.8S ribosomal RNA (5.8S rRNA) is a component of the large subunit of the eukaryotic ribosome. It is transcribed by RNA polymerase I as part of the 45S precursor that also contains 18S and 28S rRNA. Lineage: Eukaryota; Metazoa; Cnidaria; Anthozoa; Scleractinia; Merulinidae. The record is from RNAcentral.